Molecule: long non-coding RNA, 689 nt
Filed under: Bos taurus (domestic cattle)
Lineage: Eukaryota; Metazoa; Chordata; Mammalia; Artiodactyla; Bovidae
Description: long non-coding RNA NONBTAT000336
Source: RNAcentral
CCAUUUUCAGGCCCACAUGAACUCCCCGGCACUGUUAGAAAAAUGGCAUUCCUCUUCUGUUCUGAUUUUUUUCUUUUCUGUAAAAAUCUCCUGUAGUCGCUGAGUAAUGAAAUGGAAUUUCGUUAUAAGAAUUUCUCAUAACACACGCUUUGCUCUUUUCCUUCUGGAAACGUGUCUGAUUUGCCUCCAUGUACGUCUCUGUCUUGAGACCAGCUUUCUGCAUGGUAUACGUGAACGCUAGGCAAGAGGUGGGAGACUGCAGUUCUGGUGACAGCGUGGCUCACUCUGCUGUGGCUGUUUGUCCCAGUGGAGCUAGUCUGCCAUCUCUGCCAUGAGUUGUCGUUCCUUCUGAUUCCUACUGUGUGUGGCAGGUGGCAGCUUGCUGCAGGUCACAGCAGGGCCCUUCUGCGGGUCUCCCUCUUCCCCAGCCUCACUGGAAUGACUGUUCGGAGCCCAGAGAGUUCACUGUGACUAGGGCAGAAAAGAGCAGUGGUGGGGUCAGAUCCUGUGCCGCUUCCCCCCACCCCCCGCCCAGGGUUAAUCUUAGAAUUCUUUGAACUUAUUACUGUAUUAAAAACCACUGCUGUAACAACUGUCUGGCUGCACUGUAACAGCAGUGGUUUGUUUCAGUUUGCUUUUGAUAGAGAUUUGUACCGUGUUCUGCUUUGCAUUGGAUAGUCUAUCAAAGC